This is a long non-coding RNA of Monodelphis domestica (gray short-tailed opossum), 1746 nucleotides long. RefSeq lists it as uncharacterized. Lineage: Eukaryota; Metazoa; Chordata; Mammalia; Didelphimorphia; Didelphidae. The record is from RefSeq and is a predicted model, not a curated record.
GCCUAGGAAUCCCUGAGGCCAAGAGUAGAGAUCAUGCAUUAGCAGCACCAAGUAUCCUUAUGAAAACUAGGUUUGACUUACUCUCAUUUCCUGCCCUGGGCAGCUCUGAAAGAGAAUUAUAAGAUCCUUGUUCCAAGCUGAGGAGGGCUUCUUUCCUAACAGUGAAUGAACUCUGUGACUUUCAUCGCUUAAUACACAAAAGCUUUAUAGCAUUUCCCUAUCAAGUUGCUAGCCCUCUUGUUUAACAAUGUUGUCCAAGGAAAAUGUUUACAAUAUUUAUAGAAUUUAUAGCAGCAUCUUUUGUUAUCACUAGCAAGUAAAUAGAAACAAAGUGAGUGCCCAUCAAUUAGGGAAUGAUAGUAACUGAAAUAGCAUUGUACCAUAAUGGAAUGGUUUAUCACAAUAAGAAAUGACAAAUACAAAGAAUUCAGAAAAACUUAGGAGAUUUGAAUGAGAUGAUGCAGAACAAAGCUCCCUGCUCUGAGGGUCUCAUUCAAGUCAGGUCAGAAGAGGAUCAGGUCUCUUUUUCAAAAAUACCACGCUUUGGGAACCAGAGAACUAUGCAAUGAAGACUCCUCUCCCAUCGAGGGCCAUGGAACCGACUUACCUCUCAGCACUGUAAUUGAACUGAUGAAGAAGGCGGUCAGCAAGUAGUGUACGGUACUCAUUGAUAAAAAGGUCUUUGCUGCCAUAGAUACUGACCAGCAAGCUGAUGAUAUCUGAGGAGCGGCGUUUUGAGCUUGAUUUCCCUAGAGACAAAGGCAACAAAGGCAGACUAUUAGAGAGAAGCUUCUGGAAUCACUGGCAGAAAUAGGAAUGUGCUGCUCACAGCAAGGGGACCCCAGGGCACAUGGGCCCACCCUGGUUUUCCCAAGCCCUAAAGGAAUAUCGUCGUAUAGGUUCACAAGCUACUUCCAGGAUGACCAUGGAGGAAUCCAGCUCCCGAAGGGCUUUGAUGGCUGAGAUAUAGAGGGUGAUGAUAUCAGAUGUAUUUACCCCUGCAAUGAAGAGAGCAGCAGAGUGACAAUUGGAAUGCCUCCAAGGACACCCAAAUUGGACUUGAGAAGCUAGCUAGAGUAGUAAACUCUCAGGAAGCUGGACUAUGUUGGUGGCCAGAACAUUCAUGUAAGGGACUUCAGAAACCUUGCCCCUUCCUAGAAGCAUUUGUUAAAACCCCUCAUGUUGCUCUUGAUUCCCUAUUUGAAACUGUGGAGAAAGAACACUUAACAUUCACUUUUCUCUCUACUCCUGAGAAGAGUGGCCUGACUCCCUUCCCUGCUCUAUUCUGCAUGUGAAAGAAAGAAAACUACAUAUGUACAGGCUAUCCAGGUUCCUAAACUACAUGCCUCCUGCAAAAUUCUUCUGUGGCAUAUUGAAAUAGUACCAGUUAUGCCAUUUUGCCUUUAUCCACCAUUUUAUGAAGUUAACACACACACACACACACACACACACACACACACACACACACACACACAAAAGAAGGUCACUAGCUCUUUUCCUUCUCUCCUCAGCACCUUUGGAUUGUCUCCCAAUCUCCUCCAAUCAAUCCUCAUCCUCACCCUUACCUUACUGUCUCCAGAUUGCCUCCUCCAAUAAGAACUCUUGCAUCUUGUUUUUCAUUCCCUCCAAACUGUAUAUUAACUGGGAAAAAAACUAAAGUUCUGGACUCUUAAUUACCAAGAGCCCUGAACCCAAUUUCUUUUGCAUCUGCAUGUAUUACUAAAUAAACUGCCUAUCUGGAUGAUA